CAGAGUUCUAAAAGACUCCCAAACCAUUGUGAACAUACCCGUCAGCGUUGCUUCGGCGGGCGUCCCCUCCCUGGGGACGCUGCCCUUCGGGGUGCCCGCCGGUGCUUACGAAACUCUUUUGUAUUUUAGUGGCCUCUCUGAGAAAACAAACAAAUAAGUUA
RNAcentral lists this unclassified non-coding RNA (161 nucleotides) under uncultured fungus. RNAcentral's name for it is "sequence contains ITS1". Lineage: Eukaryota; Fungi. The record is from RNAcentral.